AACGAACGCUGGCGGCAUGCCUAACACAUGCAAGUCGAACGAGAUCUUCGGGUCUAGUGGCGCACGGGUGCGUAACGCGUGGGAAUCUGCCCUUGGGUUCGGAAUAACAGUUGGAAACGACUGCUAAUACCGGCUGAUGACAAAAGUCCAAAGAUUUAUCGCCAGAGGAUGAGCCCGCGUAGGAUUAGCUAGUUGGUGUGGUAAAGGCGCACCAAGGCGACGAUCCUUAGCUGGUCUGAGAGGAUGAUCAGCCACACUGGGACUGAGACACGGCCCAGACUCCUACGGGAGGCAGCAGUGGGGAAUAUUGGACAAUGGGCGAAAGCCUGAUCCAGCAAUGCCGCGUGGGUGAUGAAGGCCUUAGGGUUGUAAAGCUCUUUUACCCGGGAUGGUAAUGACAGUACCGGGAGAAUAAGCUCCGGCUAACUCCGUGCCAGCAGCCGCCGCAG
RNAcentral lists this ribosomal RNA (449 nucleotides) under uncultured bacterium. RNAcentral's name for it is "partial 16S ribosomal RNA". It matches the Rfam family "Bacterial small subunit ribosomal RNA", at positions 29 to 523 of the family's 1533-position model. The record is from RNAcentral.